RNAcentral lists this ribosomal RNA (301 nucleotides) under uncultured bacterium. RNAcentral's name for it is "partial 16S ribosomal RNA". It matches the Rfam family "Bacterial small subunit ribosomal RNA", at positions 509 to 809 of the family's 1533-position model. The record is from RNAcentral.
CAGUAGCCGCGGGAAUACGGAGGAUCCAAGCGUUAUCCGGAAUCAUUGGGUUUAAAGGGUCCGUAGGCGGUCUUGUAAGUCAGUGGUGAAAGCCCAUCGCUCAACGGUGGAACGGCCAUUGAUACUGCAGGACUUGAAUUAUUGGGAAGUAACUAGAAUAUGUAGUGUAGCGGUGAAAUGCUUAGAGAUUACAUGGAAUACCAAUUGCGAAGGCAGGUUACUACCAAUUGAUUGACGCUGAUGGACGAAAGCGUGGGUAGCGAACAGGAUUAGAUACCCCUGUAGUCCCUGUCUCUUAUAU